GACGAACGCUGGCGGCGUGCUUAACACAUGCAAGUCGAACGGAAAGGCCCUGCUUUUGUGGGGUGCUCGAGUGGCGAACGGGUGAGUAACACGUGAGUAACCUGCCCUUGACUUUGAGAUAACUUCAGGAAACUGGGGCUAAUACCGGAUAGGAGCUCCUGCUGCAUGGUGGGGGUUGGAAAGUUUCGGCGGUUGGGGAUGGACUCGCGGCUUAUCAGCUUGUUGGUGGGGUAGUGGCUUACCAAGGCUUUGACGGGUAGCCGGCCUGAGAGGGUGACCGGCCACAUUGGGACUGAGCUACGGCCCAGACUCCUACGGGAGGCAGCAGUGGGGAAUAUUGCACAAUGGGCGGAAGCCUGAUGCAGCAACGCCGCGUGCGGGAUGACGGCCUUCGGGUUGUAAACCGCUUUCGCCUGUGACGAAGCGUGAGCGACGGUAAUGGGUAAAGAAGCACCGGCUAACUACGUG
This 468-nucleotide ribosomal RNA is filed under the name uncultured bacterium. Its description in RNAcentral is "partial 16S ribosomal RNA". It matches the Rfam family "Bacterial small subunit ribosomal RNA", at positions 28 to 507 of the family's 1533-position model. The record is from RNAcentral.